Molecule: long non-coding RNA, 865 nt
Filed under: Gossypium raimondii (Peruvian cotton)
Lineage: Eukaryota; Viridiplantae; Streptophyta; Magnoliopsida; Malvales; Malvaceae
Description: long non-coding RNA (GRAI_LNC006872)
Source: RNAcentral
CUAGUUGGCCCAACAAUGCACUAGGGGUCAAACACACAUUACUUGCCGGUCGUAUGGAAAUUACAUAUGGGAGAUAAUGUUGUCUUUACUCUUUAGUUUGAUGUAAUACAAGGCUUUGCCUUCUUUUCUACCCCAACAAAAUGCAUGCGCAAUCAUCUCUCUUCUUUUUCUAAAACAAACUCUCUGAUUUGUCUCUAAAAGUAAUCAAGCUCUAAAUCUAGUUUGCUAGGUGGCUUGCCGUUACACUUUCCUCUCCUCUCUUCCUUUCCUUUUUCUUUGUCCCUUUGUUUCUAUCCUUUAUGAAAAGUUAAGCCUUGAACUGUGGUUCAGUUAUCUACUGGCCCAAGGAUGGAUCCAUUGAUGGGAUGCUACUAUCCAUUGAUGGUUAGUAGCUCUUUUCUCCUCUUUUGCAAUAGAGUUUUUAUUUAUUUAUUUAUCGAGGAGGAUGAGAUUGUUGUGAAACUACAUGACUAAUUAGUUUGGUCGAUGUUAUCUUUUUCUUUUCUCUCCUUUCUUUGUACUUUUUUUCAUCCUAUUUUCUUAAACUUUUCCCUGUUUUCUAUUUUCGGUGUAAUUUCUUGUAUUUGUUCUUUUUAUUUGUUUCUGUUUUAUUUUGUCACUAAAUUUGACUCUUUCGUUGCGACAAUAGGGAUAUAGUUGAUCCACGGAUUCAACGCUCUCACACGCGAGUUUUUUGCAUGUACCUGUCUGUAAGUCUUGUUUCCAAACAUUUGUUGUUGAUUUGGUUUGAGUUCUGAGUUGGGUUUUACGUGAUCUUGAGCUCUAUGUUUGGGGUUCUUUUGGUCCCCAUUUUUGAUCGCCUUCAGGCAAUGUACGUAAUAGCUAUAUACUAGUAGUAUUGGCC